RNAcentral lists this small nuclear RNA (317 nucleotides) under Castor canadensis (American beaver). RNAcentral's name for it is "7SK RNA (ENSCCNG00000015909.1)". It matches the Rfam family "7SK RNA". Rfam says of the family: 7SK was discovered as an abundant small nuclear RNA in the mid-70s but a possible function has only recently been suggested. Two independent studies have found that 7SK RNA binds the CDK9/cyclin T complex (known as elongation factor P-TEFb). Lineage: Eukaryota; Metazoa; Chordata; Mammalia; Rodentia; Castoridae. The record is from Rfam by way of RNAcentral.
GGAUAUGAGGGUGAUCUGGCUGUGACAUCUGCCACCCCAUUGAUUGCCAGGGUUGAUUUGUCUGAUCUGGCUGGCUAGGUGGGUGUUCCCUUCCUCCCUCACUGCUCCAUGUGCAUCCCUCCUGAAGCUGUGUGCCCAGUCAAAGGGGAUGACCAUCCCCAAUAGAGGAGGACUGUUCUCGGGUCAAGGGUAUCUGAGUCACUGUGCUCUUCUGCUAGAACCUCCAAAUAAGCUCUCAAAAGUCCCAGAACAAACUGUCCAUUGAGAGGAAGCUGCCCGAGGCCAGAGGCUUCAUCCACUUGACAAUUUUUUCCAGU